CCAAGGUUAAGCUGGUGGAAAGUUCUCUGGUACGUGCACACACCCCUACACAGAGCCCUAUCAGCUGUACACACACAAACACACAGAAGCACACACAUACCACAAGCCGACACCACACACAGAGACACGAAUUACACACAACAUACAGACACACAGAAACACAUAAGCUACACACAAGGAACACAAACAGACACACACAGACUACAAGCAGGCACCACCUACACAGACGCGAACUACACACUGUGCACAAACACACACAGAAAUAGAAAUAGGCACACACAGAGACAUAGGAGCUACACACAGACACGUAAAUCACACAGGCACUGCUCAGGGAUUGCAAGCAGUAGAAGCUCUUGGCUCUGUCCACAGUGUAACAGCAGAACCCCAAACAGUGUCCUUAUCAGAGAUGCCUCCAUAAAUCUCCCCAGGACACUCGCUUAUUCAGGGAGCAACUGCCACCAGAUAUUUGGAAGCCACGUCCUUGUAACAAGCACAUUACAGAGCAACACGGCACAUCCUACCCAGAGUGGCCCAGGUCUGCCCAGCAAUCGGGGACCAAGGGUACCUGCAGCACCGGGGGCACAGGGACACCACAGUCCCCGGCCAUGGGUCCAACCUCUGAGAUUACAUCCAGCACUGCAUUUGCCAUCUCAGUCUCUCUCAGACUGCCAUGCGCAUCAGGUGUGGCCACAGCUCACAAGCACAUCCGGUGACCCCCUCCUUGUAGGGCAAGAGGGGCACAAGGAGCCUGCAACCACGAAGCACCAGCUCCCACCCGAGAUGUCAGCUCAUCCUCACUCAUCCUCUUCCAACACCUUGAGAGACUUUCACAGGGCAGAUGGUGGCAAAAGGGCCAUGUGGAAGCAGCCUGAGCAGACGGCAUGCACCAGAGGAGAGCCGGGGUGUGCAGGCAACUGCGCAUGAGCACUGAACGGCAACAGCAUUGUCGGAAGUCUACAGUAGCUUAACUCGAAUGACCUGAGUGCCUUGAGGGGCACUUCUGUGAUCAGAAGUGACUGGAGUCAGUCCAGGAAAGAUGUGGCUUCUCCUGAGCUGGGAAGAUUUGGCUCCAAAACAAGAUCUGACCACAGAUUUACACCUUUCUUGGAAGAUCAGGAAAUUCUCAGGGGAAACUUCCAAAUAAAGCCUCCCUAACACUUAUUAGCCA
This 1168-nucleotide long non-coding RNA is filed under the name Oryctolagus cuniculus (rabbit). Its description in RNAcentral is "lncRNA (ENSOCUG00000031816.1)". Lineage: Eukaryota; Metazoa; Chordata; Mammalia; Lagomorpha; Leporidae. The record is from RNAcentral.